AUUGAACGCUGGCGGAAUGCUUUACACAUGCAAGUCGAACGGCAGCACGGGGGCAACCCUGGUGGCGAGUGGCGAACGGGUGAGUAAUACAUCGGAACGUGCCCGGUCGUGGGGGAUAACGUAGCGAAAGUUACGCUAAUACCGCAUACGAUCUGAGGAUGAAAGCGGGGGACCUUCGGGCCUCGCGCGAUCGGAGCGGCCGAUGUCAGAUUAGGUAGUUGGUGGGGUAAAGGCCUACCAAGCCGACGAUCUGUAGCUGGUCUGAGAGGACGACCAGCCACAGGGGGACGAGGACACGGCCCAGCACCCGAGGGGGGGCAGGAGGGGGAAAUUUUGGAAAAGGGGCGGAGGCCUAUCCAGGCCAUUCCGGGUGAGGGAGAAAGGCCUUGGGGUGGUAAACUGUUUUGGUAGGGAACGAAAAGGGUUUGGUUAAACCCGGGGGUUAAGGAGGGACCCGUAAAAAAAAGCACGGCCAACUUCGUG
Molecule: ribosomal RNA, 483 nt
Filed under: uncultured bacterium
Lineage: Bacteria
Description: partial 16S ribosomal RNA
Rfam family: Bacterial small subunit ribosomal RNA
Source: RNAcentral